This is a long non-coding RNA of Ostrea edulis (European flat oyster), 3926 nucleotides long. RefSeq lists it as uncharacterized. The transcript is spliced from 3 exons. Lineage: Eukaryota; Metazoa; Mollusca; Bivalvia; Ostreida; Ostreidae. The record is from RefSeq and is a predicted model, not a curated record.
AGGAGAAGAUAUAGAUAUAAUUCAUCAGGAAGGGAGGCAAAUAAAUGAAUAAGGGCUGAUUUAACAAACUUCAUUUUUCCCUAUAGUGCGAUUGAAUGGGAAUUGUAUGCAUACAAUUUUAAAAUGAUUUAGAUGUGUAAUAGUAAUCGUCCAAGUAAUGUGACCUCCAGAUUAAAUUCUGUAAACAAAAUUUUGUUUAACCAAAGAAGUUGAAAUUGAUGUACAAUUUUUCAUAUAUAAUAACAUGUGUCAUUAAUUAUUUCAUUUAUAUUUAAUAGCAACAGAGUUUCUCAAAAAUGGAAGAAAUUCCAAGUAGAGAAAGAUCAGAAGAGAGAGCCCCUUACAGCCAGAUCAUCAACACAGACCAAAGAAGAAAGCGGGAAAGAAGAUAGUAACGUCCCGUUACCUGAACCACAAAGCAGAAUCCAUCAUAAAAAAGCAACCAACAGCUCCAGCCAAAGCCUCCAAUGCCCAGAAAAGAAUCUCGAUCUUACCACAGACGCAGGGUUCGGGAACACCUAUGAGAUGAUAUUGAGUUGGUGAGGGGGAAAAGAGAGACAUCAGAAACACCGAAUCUCAAGAAAUCUCGUUCCCUUGGCGGGAGCCUAAAAAAACUGUUUCGUCGGGGCCGGAAACAGACGAGAUCACGGGGAGAAACUUCCAGGGAGAGUUCAUUUUCUCGUUCCUCAACACGCAAUGUCUCACAAGGCCCGUCUAGAGAGGGGUCAUUAAAUAGAAAUGUUGACCCAAAGGAUAUGCAAUAUCAACAGACUUUAAUUUCAUAGCAUUUGUUCAACUGUAUACAUUAUGAGAAAUUUUGUAUUUUCAUACAGCGUUUGUAAAAUUACUCAAAGUCUAAAAAGCAAUUUUAAAACAAUUCUCCUAGUAACUUUUUCUUCAUUUAAUUACAAGUAAAAAUAUGAAGUGAUAAUAAACAUCAAAAAGAAACGUAUUGGAUAUUUUCGGAAUAGCAAUCUAUUCAUUGUUUACAUAUGAAAGCUGAGAACCAGUUUCAUGAAAAGAUAUGAACCUUCAUCUUAGCAGGCUGGUUUAUACAUAUAGACUCGUGAGCACAAUCAUGAAUUUUUUUAUUCAGAAUCCAACAGUCAUGGAAACUUCUGCCUAUAUGAAACGAGUACUUUGACAUGUACAUCUUGUUAGGGUCUUCCUUUCAUUUUUUAUAUUUAGUCAGUGUCUAUCUACUUCUGCUUUUAUAAAUAAUUUUUCGUGUUUUUACACAAACAAAAAAAAUCCUUCUAGUUGAUGCAUGCAUUACAAUUCCAAAGACAAAUCACAAUUUUGCAUAUUCUCAGUUGCCGCCCCUUGUCACCUCAAAAUGAACACAAACCAUGUGACACUGUACAAUUACUUCACUACAGACAUUACUCUGUUAUAUGGGAUGUUUGAGCAUAUUAUCUUCACCUUGUAUUUAUGCCUUAAUUAUUGUCCUCGUUGUGAUUUUCCCAUUAAUUUAUUACCUCGUUUUCCAGUGUUUAUUAUUUUAAGUUUGAUUACGGCUCAUGAGCUUUGUAUUUACUUAGCUGAGAGUUUACGUCAUAAUCACGUGACUAUUUAUUAUGUGCCGACAACGCUAAAUACUGCAAAACGCUACCUCCAUAUUGUUCAUGGCUGAGAGAUGGAGAUUUCAAACCUUGUGCACAGUUACAUGUAGUUACAAGUACGCAUGCACUUGUUUCCCUUAAUUUUUGACGAAGACAAAUUGCAACAGACAAAUGUGUUGCAAACCUUCAACAUGGCUGGUUUCAUUUCAAGGUUUUGACAACUACUGAUCCACAGAGAAUGCAAUUUACAUUUCACAGCAUUAAAGCUACACGUUUAUGCUGAAAUGUAGACAGUUUAGUGAGAAGUAGAUGACAUGCCAACAUGAAGAAUUAUUAGACCAUGUGCUGAGUUUUUGGGUGAUUCCCCAACGAUACUUGUACAUGUUUGAAAUCUCAACCUCUCUGACACUAAGAUUAGAUAUAUGUUUUGUAUGCUUUUUGUAUUGUUAGUUUUGAUCAAGCAGGUUUGAUUGACAUGUGUAUAUUCUAUACUGAACGCAAGUUUUUGUUUGGUUUCCUUUUAGCGACCGCUUUUGUUUGGUUCCCUUUUAGCGACUGGUUUUACAAUGUUUAGUGCAGGAUAAAAUUUCAUGUCGAUAUAUGUUCUUGACUCGAUAUUAUUUAGAACAAGUGUGUGUUCAUAUUUGAGAAUUUUGAGCAAUGAAAAAUGGCAUAGUCUGUGCCCCAAAAAAUGCGAAAGAAGAAUUGUGUGUAUAAAGGGCUCUCAGUUCUCUGCUAUAUUUAUAAGGCUUAUCGAUCAAGCUAACAUUUGGUUCUCGGGUCAAUUUUUCCUGUAAAAAAUGCUGCAAGGAGGAUAUAUUUGCUUUGAGUGGAAGAUUAAUGAUGCUACAACAGGAAAUAUACACAGAUCGAAAAAAGACAUGCAAUAAUUUAUCAAUGGCGAUAUCUAAUUAUUUAAAAAGUGUACAGUAGAUUGUAAAUUCAGCCAAAUUAUUGAGUUUCAAGAGUCUUCUGCGUAUUCUGUUUUGAAAAAGAAGUAUUGAACUUCAACAAAGAUUGCAGAAAUGGUCUCCAAAAUUUCACUCUGAUUUUGAUGAUAUCAUCCAUUUGGUUUCUUUUAAAUAUACACAAUUGCCCAUAGCCUAAGAACCAGAUAAUUCCUUUAUGUAGCCUAUAAUUUCAUCCAUAAUGAAAUAUCUCUGUAGGGAUUUACCAAAGGUUGUGCAUUUAUGUGGUCAGUAGAGCUCUGUCCGUGUUAGAAACAUUGAUUAAUUAUGUUUGAAAUCCGAUUUAACUGUAUAAAGAUCAUAAGUGAUUUGUGGAAAUGUUACAAAUUUUAUUUUUAUACACAAAAAGUUUAUUUUUGUCCCUCAAAUAUAUGAUGGAGAAUGCCCUUUCGAAAGUGGGAAGAAACAAUAAGACUAAUGUAUUAAAAUUUUACACAUGUAUAGUUAUAUACACAUUCUGUUAUAAGUUUUAUACUAUCCUUAUGUUUCCUUUAUCAUUUUGGGAGUGCAGAAGUAAUGGAAACUAAUCUCGGGAACAAGAAAAUUAUUGACAUACAUUAUUUUUAGAAACAAAAACAAUCUAUAUUUUAGUCCACUUCUAAAGUGGUGAGUUGUUUGUACGGUGUGAAAAGUGAGUACAAUGUAUACACUUCUGUAAUGUGCAAACCAUGAAGAGAAAUUGUCAAAGCAAAAAAAAAUUUGGUUAGUUUUAUACUCUUAUCCUUGGUGAUACAGCCUUGAGGAAUGCAUAAUGGAAUAGUGGUCCUUUCCAUCCCCUUUUAAAAAUAUUUAGACCCAAUUCAUUGUGAAUGACAAUGCUAAAAUUCAGUUUGCUUCCAGUGAAAUUUAGAACAUUUUGCACUAAAACAGGAUUGAAAAUUUGAUGAGAUACACUAUAUACAUAGAGGAAUAUCUGAUUUCCUCACAUGUUAUAGGACUUAUAUCCUUAUCCCAGAGAUGACUCUGCAAUUUUGAAUGCACUGGUCCACUUAGAAAAUUUUAGGCAAGGUAUAUAUAUGUACACUGAUCAAGGUUGAUGUAUUACAAAUAUCUUUGACAAGCCUUGGUAAUUUUGAUGGCUAAUGAUAUUUAAUCCUUGUGUUUUUGCUUUAAACUGUAAUCACAGGGACUUUUUCAGAUUAGUUUUUGUUGUAAAAAAUAUUCAUCUUUAACAUGACAAUAAUUGGAAUUGAUGUUCAGUAAAGUGUUGUAUCACAAUUUAUCAAACGUUUUUCAACAACGACAUUUUAGACUAGUGCUCUAACAUUUGUUUUCCUUAUUUAAGGCCAAUAUGUAGAUGUUGGGUGUCUUGCCAAUGCAUGUGUAGAAGAUUUGAUCUUUGUAUGUGAGUGUGUGUAGGACCAAGAUAGGUGAAAUAAAAUGCUACACUGAUAAA